Molecule: ribosomal RNA, 256 nt
Filed under: uncultured bacterium
Lineage: Bacteria
Description: partial 16S ribosomal RNA
Rfam family: Bacterial small subunit ribosomal RNA
Source: RNAcentral
UACGUAGGGGGGCAAGCGUUGUCCGGAAUCAUUGGGCGUAAAGCGCGUGUAGGCGGCCCGAUAAGUCCGCUGUGAAAGCCCCCGGCUCAACUGGGGAGGGUCACGCGAUACUGAUCGACUCGAAGGCAGGAGAGGGUAGUGGAAUUCCCGGUGUAGUGGUGAAAUGCGUAGAUAUCAGGAGGAACACCAAUGGCGAAGGCAGCUCGCUGGAACGGUACUGACGCUGAGGCGCGAAAGCGUGGGGGGAGCAAACAGG